Molecule: ribosomal RNA, 409 nt
Filed under: uncultured eukaryote
Lineage: Eukaryota
Description: bacterial SSU rRNA
Rfam family: Eukaryotic small subunit ribosomal RNA
Source: RNAcentral
GGUGAAUCAUAAUAUUUAUAGCAAAUUAUACAGAGGAAGUAAUUCUUCUUGAUAAUAAAACCGAUCAAAUUUCUGCCCUAUCAUACUUUGGACGGUAAUGUAGUGGAUUACGGUGGUGAUGACGGGUAACGGAGAAUUAGGGUUUGAUUCCGGAGAGGGAGCAUGAGAAAUGGCUACCACUUCCAAGGAAGGCAGCAGGCGCGUAAAUUACCCAAUCCUAAAACAGGGGAGGUAGUGACGAUAAAUAACAAUGAUUCAAUGAUAACAAAGUUGAAUUAAUUGGAAUGAGAACAAUAUAAAUCCCUUAUCGAGUAACAAUUUCAGGGCAAGUUCUGGUGCCAGCAGCCGCGGUAAUUCCAGCUGAAAAAGCGUAUACGAAUAUUGUUGCAGUUAAAACGCUCGUAGUUGG